Choloepus didactylus (southern two-toed sloth) is the source of this 236-nucleotide long non-coding RNA. RefSeq lists it as uncharacterized. The transcript has 3 exons. NCBI's taxonomy places the organism in Eukaryota, Metazoa, Chordata, Mammalia, Pilosa, Megalonychidae. The record is from RefSeq and is a predicted model, not a curated record.
AGCAUAGAUCAGCUGAACCCCAGUCAACUGAAGAUAAGAUUUUUAGGAGAGAAAAUGCUGUAUCAAAGGAAUAGAUUUGGAAUGAUGUAUACUCACUCUAGAAGUAAAUGAAAAUGGUUUCUUUGUGCUGUUCCACUUCAGACUUUUGAUCUUCUGUCUGGUGCAAUUUCUUAUGGAUUUGUUCUCUUAUUUUGUUGAGCUUUGCAAUAUCAUGGCGCAUCUGAUGGACUUCCUCC